Molecule: ribosomal RNA, 212 nt
Filed under: uncultured Paenibacillus sp.
Lineage: Bacteria; Bacillati; Bacillota; Bacilli; Caryophanales; Paenibacillaceae
Description: partial 16S ribosomal RNA
Rfam family: Bacterial small subunit ribosomal RNA
Source: RNAcentral
UGGGGAGUGACGUCAAAUCAUCAUGCCCCUUACUGACCUGGGCUACACACGUGCUACAAUGGGCGGUACAAAGGGUCGCGAACCCGCGAGGGGGAGCCAAUCCCAAAAAAGCCGCUCUCAGUUCGGAUUGCAGGCUGCAACUCGCCUGCAUGAAGCCGGAAUCGCUAGUAAUCGCGGAUCAGCAUGCCGCGGUGAAUACGUUCCCGGGCCUU